GAGGCAAAAUGUCCCUGAAGUGUUCUCUGGGGAACCUCCAGCACCUUGCACAGUGCCUGACACACAGCAGGGGCCUCAUAAAUGGCUGUUAAUAAGUGAUAAAACCCACCCAAGACUGCUUUUCUUGCUGCUUUUGAUAAAACUCAUAAGCGAACUCUGAGUGACAGCUGCUUUCUUUGCCUCGUCCUGCUCCCUGUAGCUACCUCUGUGCCUCCAUCCCACAGUUAGAUGCAACAUCCCUGAUUUCCAGGAUCAGCUUAGUUCAUGCCAUUGACCCUUGAUUUUUUUGGUCUAUUCCCAUGUUCACCAGGAAGAGAAGCAUGAGGUUACAUCUGUAAUCUCCCUGCAGCAGAGUCAACUGCAUAAGAAACCAAAAGACACACCUGCUCCAUGCCAGCUUCGAUAAUUUCUUUGUACCUUCGGCGAAAGAAGCCCAUCUGAAAGGCAGAAAGAAAGAGAAGCUGAGUUAGAAGUGCUGAAGAAUCAGCCAUUGUGACCCCAAGGCAGUCUGUCCCUGGCCUAAGCCACCACAUAAAAAGUCAGACCAUCUGCUGGAAGAACCACAUGGAGAGGCCCUGAGUCAACAUGGAGAGGAAGAAGGACUUGACUGAAUCCAGCCUUCCAGCUGUCCCUACCAAGGUGCCAGGCAUGAGAAUGAAGCUGUCUUGAACU
Molecule: long non-coding RNA, 672 nt
Filed under: Homo sapiens (human)
Lineage: Eukaryota; Metazoa; Chordata; Mammalia; Primates; Hominidae
Description: non-protein coding ITGA9-AS1:32
Source: RNAcentral